AGUGAACGCUGGCGGUAGGCCUAACACAUGCAAGUCGAACGGCAGCACAGUAAGAGCUUGCUCUUACGGGUGGCGAGUGGCGGACGGGUGAGGAAUACAUCGGAAUCUACUUUUUCGUGGGGGAUAACGUAGGGACACUUACGCUAAUACCGCAUACGACCUGCGGGUGAAAGCAGGGGAUCUUCGGCCCUUGCGCGAUUGAAUGAGCCGAUGUCGGAUUAGCUAGUUGGCGGGGUAAAGGCCCACCAAGGCGACGAUCCGUAGCUGGUCUGAGAGGAUGAUCAGCCACACUGGAACUGAGACACGGUCCAGACUCCUACGGGAGGCAGCAGUGGGGAAUAUUGGACAAUGGGCGCAAGCCUGAUCCAGCCAUACCGCGUGGGUGAAGAAGGCCUUCGGGUUGUAAAGCCCUUUUGUUGGGAAAGAAAAGCAGCAGGUUAAUACCCCGCUGUUCUGACGGUACCCAAAGAAUAAGCACCGGCUAACUUCGUG
Molecule: ribosomal RNA, 492 nt
Filed under: uncultured bacterium
Lineage: Bacteria
Description: partial 16S ribosomal RNA
Rfam family: Bacterial small subunit ribosomal RNA
Source: RNAcentral